ACCUGUCAAACUAAUUUGCAGUGGGAGAAGUAGAUCUGCAGUGAGGAAAAGGUUCAUUUAAAUGUGGCGCAGAAAACAUUCAUCAUACACUUUCCUAUUCCUUCUAGUAGAGGAAGAAUCAUCAAUUUGAAAGUCAGUUAAUUUGACUUUUACUUCUUGACCUGCCUGGAAAGUAUAUGUCCAUAUCUCAUCUAUCUCAACUACCUGAUUUUUGCUCCAGGGGAACUUCUAGGAGCACUGCACCCUCUCAGACCUGCGUGAGCAUUACUUGGAUGCUCUUUCAUCCAGCUCUGUGGAGAAGCAUGUACCUCUGCUACUCCUUUCACUUCCAUCCUUGGCCUCUUUGUGUGUUUUUCUUCCCUUUAUCCCUACCACAACGCUCUGCAACAGAGUACCUGAGGAGGCUGGGCCAUCGCCCUCACUGACCUUCUCUAAGAACACAAUAAACAUUUCUGAGGGAUGGCA
Molecule: long non-coding RNA, 465 nt
Filed under: Struthio camelus australis
Lineage: Eukaryota; Metazoa; Chordata; Aves; Struthioniformes; Struthionidae
Description: lncRNA (ENSSCUG00000003731.1)
Source: RNAcentral